UAUGUGAUCGUCUCUCGCAUAUCAAUAAGCGGAGGAAAAGAAACUAACAAGGAUUCCCCUAGUAACGGCGAGUGAAGCGGGAAGAGCUCAAAUUUGAAAUCUUAAAGGGUUUCCCUUUACGAAUUGUAGUUUAAAGAAGUGUUUUCUGUUGAGGUUUUGGUAAAAGUUCUUUGGAAUAGGACAUCAUAGAGGGUGAGAAUCCCGUAUUUGACCUUUACUUUCAACUUUGUGAUACACUUUCAAAGAGUCGGAUUGUUUGGGAAUGCAGUCCAAAAUGGGUGGUAAAUUUCAUCUAAAGCUAAAUAUUGGCGAGAGACCGAUAGCGAACAAGUACCGUGAGGGAAAGAUGAAAAGAACUUUGAAAAGAGAGUUAAACAGUACGUGAAAUUGUCAAAAGGGAAGCGUUUGACACCAGUGUUGUUUUUCUGAAAAUCAAUUAAAGAACUGUUUAUGCUAAGUUGUUUAGACUUUAUCAGCUAUCUGUUUAGUUUUGAGCUUUUCUUUAAUGCACUUUUCAGUUAACAAGUCGACAUCAAUUUCUUUUGCUGUAAAAAAGCUUGAGGAAGGUGGCUUGAGAUUCGUCUUAAGUGUUUAUAGCCUCUUGCCUAUGCAGUCGGAGAGAUUGAGGUCUGCAGCGUAGAUCCUUCGGGGCUAAAUGCAUUUGUGCUAAGUUAUAACAUUUUAUAGACAACUUGUUGACUAUGAUUUGUCUUGUAGCUUACUCGCUUAUGUUAUUUUACCUACGCUUAGGAUGUUGAGUAGCGACAUACGCAC
Molecule: ribosomal RNA, 774 nt
Filed under: uncultured Neocallimastigales
Lineage: Eukaryota; Fungi; Neocallimastigomycota; Neocallimastigomycetes; Neocallimastigales
Description: partial large subunit ribosomal RNA
Rfam family: Eukaryotic large subunit ribosomal RNA
Source: RNAcentral